AAGAAAAUGAUUUUGAAUCAAUGAGUUUCUCGGACGAAGAAGACCGCAAUACGUGCAUAAUUGCUCUGAAAAUAGAAGUGAAAGAGCGUUUGUUGAAUGCGUGACC
Molecule: ribosomal RNA, 106 nt
Filed under: Entamoeba invadens
Lineage: Eukaryota; Evosea; Mastigamoebida; Endamoebidae
Description: 5.8S ribosomal RNA
Source: RNAcentral